Molecule: long non-coding RNA, 2556 nt
Organism: Oncorhynchus tshawytscha (Chinook salmon)
Lineage: Eukaryota; Metazoa; Chordata; Actinopteri; Salmoniformes; Salmonidae
Source: Ensembl
CAGAUGUGUACUACUAGUUCUCAGGCUAAUAAGAAAGACAGAGGUCCUUGGAUAAAAUAUUUCAGUAGUUUAUUCGUCGGUCCAACUGUACAUGAUGCAGUGUUGAUAGGGACACGAGAUGAUGACUAACAUGGAGUUUUACACAAUGCCAGUGCGAUGGCAGCACUUGGAACACACCAACUGUCUGUCAGCUGAGCUGGAAACUAAAGUCCUGGAAAUGUAACCUGUUGAGGCCUCGGCACAUACAGUAUGUCAGAUUUGGAAUAGUCAUUUUUAGAUCGGUUGAAAAACACACAAAAUAUAUAUUUUCUUCGAUUCCACAAAUGUAAAAGGAUGCUCUUUCGCUUUUCACUUGGACAUGUUGAUUCAAUUAUGCACAUUGUCAUUCUUUAUUUCAGUACUUUGAAGCGAAAUGAAAUGAGAUGUGGGAAUAGCUGAAUACAAAAUGUUGGCUGAUUCGCAGAGGUUUUAUUCCAUGUUUAUACUGAUAUCAUUAUUUCAUGUAAUAACCCCAUAAGUUUGUGCAACAUCUUUCUUUGCAUAGAAAUAAAAUUUAAAUAUUUUGUUUGUUGACAUGCACCUUUUCUUUAGCAGCAUAUUUUAUCUUGCGGAUUUGGGACUCCCUUACAGAAUUAUAAGCCCACUAUAGUGUGAAUACAUGCAGCGUACCAGCAGAGAUGAACUUGAUUUCUAGUAAGAGUUUAUGAGAGCACAAGCCAGCCAGUAUAGUGGGUGUUGAUGAGGACUGUUAAAUAGUGACACCACCUGAUCAGACAGGUGGAACUAGUCUGCAGGGACACACUGUGUGUCUGUCUGCAGCACUGUGAGAGAGAGGAACAGACUAUGGGGAAAGUGCUCUGUGUGCGACAACAUCCAAACAUUCCACGUGAUUGAUUCUUUGGAUUUUGAGUCACUACUGGAAGUACUUAAGGAACCCGAUGACGUCAUUCAUAGACUGUGUCAUGUGUGAUCCAUCUUUUUGUCAUUAUCACUAUGCCCCGACCUUUAGAGAUGACACAUGUGCUGUAUACCGCUAAAUCUGACCUCUAGAGAAGACACAUGUACUGUAUACCCCUAAAUCUGACCUCUAGAGAAGCACCCCUAAAUCUGACCUCCAGAGAAGACACCCCUAAAUCUGACCUCCGGAGAAGACACCCCUAAAUCUGACCUCUGCUCUGUCCCAUGUAUACUGAACUUGACCCUUGACCUCUAUAUUGGAUAAAUACAGUGUGUAACGAGUGAUAACUUUGCUGAACACCUAAUAGGUAGAUCAUUACAUUCUCUGGUUAUCCAUAGCAUUUUGAACCAAAUCAUAAUUCUGUUACUGUUUUCUUUCAUUAACAUUACCAUAAACACCCGCUAUACAACAUGCUUAAAAUAAACCCAAAGCAGAAAUGAUAUGUUAUAAUUCAGAAGCUGGACUCUUGUUCCUCUUUUAUGUACAAUCUUGCCCAAUGUAUAUAUUUCCAUUUAUUGAAUGUGGUCUGUAUUUCCCAUUUUUAUGAGGCGAUCUCCUCCAUUUGAUGAUUCAGUAGAUCUCUCUUUUUGCUGUGUGCUGUUCAUAGCUUUGCCAUGCAGUUCUUUGCGAGGGCUCCGCAUGCCAGGGCCAGCGAGCUGCACGCUCUGUGAGGGAAAUCAUGCCUGGUGAACCUCUGUGGACUGGCGAUCAGAAGAGAGGAGUUCUGUGGCUAUAGAUAUCAGGGUGGUGUUGUUAGGUGGUUGGGUUGUUAGGUAGGUGGGUUGUUCGGAAGGUGGGUUGUUAGGUAGGGUUGGUGGGGUUGUUAGAUUGUUGGGUUGUUAGGAAGGUGGGUUGUUAGGUAGGUUGGUGGGGUUGUUAGAUUGUUGGGUUGUUAGGUGGGUGGGUUGUUAGGUAGGUGGGUUGUUAGGUAGGUGGGUUGUUAUUUUUGAUGAUUUUUUUUUUACCCCUUUUUUCUCCCCAAUUUCGUGGUAUUCAAUUGGUAGUUACAGUCUUGUCUCAUCGCUGCAACUCCCGUACGGACUCAGGAGAUGCAAAGGUCGAGAGCCAUGCGUCCUCCGAAACACAACCCAACCUAGCCGCACUGCUUCUUGACAUAACGCACAUCCAACCUAUAUGUGCGUCCUCCAAUGUGUCGGAGGAAACACCGUACACCUGGCGACCUGGUCAAAAUGCACUGCGCCCUGCCACAGGAGUCGCUAGUGCGCGAUGAGACAAGGAUAUCCCUGCCGGCCAAACCCUCCCUAACCCGGACAACGCUGUGCAUCGCCCCAAGGACCUCCCGGUCGCGGCCGGCUGCGACAGAGCCUGGGCUUGAACCCAGAAUCUCUGCUGGCACUGCGAUGCAGUGCCUUUAGACAACUGUAACACCCGAGAGGCCCGGUAGGUGGAUUGUUAGGUAGGUGGGUUGUUAGGUGGUGAGGUUGUUAGGUAGGUGGGUGAGGUUGUUAGGUAGGUGGGUGGGGUUGUUAGGUAGGUGGGUGGGGUUGUUAGGUGGGUGGGUGGGGUUGUUAGGUGGGUUGUUAGGUAGGUGUGUGGGGUUGUUAGGAAGGUGGGUGGGGUUGUUAGGUAGGUGGGUG